GGCCACUUCAGCAGCUCAUAUACCAACACUGGAACAAUAGAGAGAUUAACAAGGUCUCUGUGUAAAGAUGGCAUAUAAAUUUGUGAUACAUUCUACGUAUUU
Molecule: small nuclear RNA, 102 nt
Organism: Myodes glareolus (Bank vole)
Lineage: Eukaryota; Metazoa; Chordata; Mammalia; Rodentia; Cricetidae
Source: RefSeq, a predicted model, not a curated record